CCCUGGGGCAUGUUUUUCACUGGCGUGAGAGGGUAGGCCGAGGAUGAGUCCCCUUUAUUUGGAGGUAAGAUCCUCACUUCUAUUGGCCAUGAAAGCAUCCAUUUGCAUAUUGCAUCUGGGUAAUCGUUGAAACAAUAUCCUUUUUUAUGAUUUUUAUUCUUAGUUGCUUUUACAGUGAUCCUCCAUAUGAAAGGAAGAGCAGGGUAGUGUGGGCGAUGGAAGUCUUUGUAUACCAGGGCAAGCUCCUCCUUCCUCAUUCUCUGAAUUUUAUCAACAUGACCACCAACUAGGUUCUUUGCACAUACUAUGUCGACCACGUGUAUGUGUCAGCUGUAGUCUCAUGUUAAAUUGCAAGUUUAUACUGUUGUCAUUACAGAGGUGUUGUUGUUGAUUUGUUUGAUCUCUUGAACAAUUGAACAGUUUACAGUCACACAUAUCCAGUUGGAAUGCUAUGGCAGUAUUAUUAGCCAGGGAUGAGGCCUUUUGUCUUCUUAAAAAAUGUAGUUGUUUGGAAUUUUGGGAUAAUAUGGAUGGUGCUCUGAUUAAGCUAAAUUAAUGCAUUGCUAAUAUUGGUGCUAGCUAAACAUCCAUGUUGAUUCUCCGGUGUAUGUCCCUGGAGCAGUUUCGACUUGUCAUUUUAGGUGUGUAAGUUCCUGUCUAAUUAGCUAGCUUAGUCAGAUUCCUUUUUGUGAUUGAUGGGGCAGUGGAUGCAAACAUAUCUAUCAAUACCAGCUAGCUGCUUGAGUGAACUUUUAGUUAGAACUGCAGCUACUUGGUGUGUCUCUGACAUAACUUGAUAUGUGCUUUUCUUUGUGUAUAUACGAAUAUGUUUUUCUCUUGGUCAUGGACCAUAUAAGUCACAAGCAAUUUCCGGGCACCACAAGCAAUUGAAUGCCUCAGCUCACCUGUACGUAUGCACUGCUCUGACUGGUCUGUCCUCUGUUUAGAACCAAGCUUAAUUAGCAUAUACAUCCCUUUUGAUUAGCAGCUAACCUCGCUUUAUCCUCGAAAAGCUUGGGGGCUUUUCUGAUUUGAUGGAGUGGUUUGAGUACUUAAACCUGUUUUCUGGCAAUAUAUUUCUUUUUCUCAUGAACAGUUUGAGCAGUUUUCCUUUAUCUUUCAAUUGAAGCAAAAGGCUGGGGUCGCGUCAAUAAAUGAUAUUUUUUCCUUAAGAUGAUAAUAUGCUGCCACCGAAAAAUAUGAUAAUAUUUUGAUAGACAGUUUAUGUCGUCAGUGCCAAUCCAUUUCCAUGUGCACAUAUUCAUACCAUCCUCGGAAUGACCUCCUCAAAAACUUCCAAGUGUAAUUAUCUGUUCGUGCAUACGUGUACGCAGGACUUGGAUCUCGCUUUCUGGCCAGGUGAGAAUGUGAGAUUUUGACCAUGCAUGCGUUCAUGGCAGAUGACAAAUGGACUAUGGAUAAUUUGCUGAACACCAAGUCCGUAGUGGCUUUCAUUUCAAACGUAUGUAUAUAUCGACCCUUUACCCACUAAUUAAUUGAGGAAAAGGAAGAGAUGGAACAUUUCAACUUGGCUCUAUGACACUUGAUAAAUUAUACAAUAAGAUUAAUUUAUUACUAAUAUUUAUUGGCUAGAUAUAUGUAGUGCUGCAUUUAGGCAUGAUCAGGUUCAGGUGACACUGCAUCAGUACUUAAUUCUUAAGAUAUAUGGUUAUUAUUCCGAGAUUCUCCAAAAUUUAUGCCUCAGCUAAACGAGCAUGUUUGUAUAAACUACUCCAUCCUUACUAAAUUGUAAGAUGUUUUUUGUUUUGUGUUGGGCAUAAAAAAUGUCUUACGUUUUGUUACGAAAGGAGUAGCUCUGUGCUUCCACCUCAAAAGAUUGAUGUGUGGCAGGAGACCUGAAUCUAUCCAAUAUUGUGCACAAUGAUAGCUAGCCAGCGAAUGAACGUUCAGUAGUUUUUUUUAUAUUAGACACCCAAGGGCAUCUUAAAACUGAUUAAUAUCGAGGAAAACAAAGAUUUUUUUAUGCCGUCACAAGGAGUAAAGGUACUGAGUUUACAUAUACUCCUUUUGGAUUCUUUUACCAUACGGCUUCACAGUCAUGGCAUGGAUAGGGUUAUCAUUUUUUUAUGUCAUGCAUAACUCCACGGUGCUCAUUGGAACUUGGUAAAACACUCCACCCAACAAAAUUCUUAUCUCUAUCUGAUUUUCUUAUUUGACCACCUUAUGCUUCUUGAUUUUCAUGCCCAACAACUAUCCGGCGGAACUGAGCUCCGCAAACAUUUGAUAAUUUGAACUAGGCUGACUUUUUACUCAAUUUGAAGUGGCUGUUGCCUAUUGAGGUGGGCUAUUUAGAGGCUUAUGGUUUCAAGAAGACAUACAUAAUUCAGCAACCGCAGAUUGUGCUGUUGGUGGACAUUUCAAGUUCAAUAAAACUAUUUGAUAUGGACAUACCUGUUAGUCUAUGAAGCUACCACCCUAGCUACAUUAUUCAGCACCAGAAUAGCACACGAUGUCCAGCUCAGAUUUUGAAAGAGAACACCAUUGACACAUAUCUUAUUUCUUCAUUCUUUUUUUGUAUGUCUUUAUGGACUUAUCGUGUGGUCAUUACAAAUAACCUUAGUGAUUACGUGAAAGGAAGUUGAAAGUUAGUCUAUAGAACAUUUAUAACCAUAACAUAAUCUUGACACUGUCAGUCUUGUACAACUAUACAGUUUCACUUAUUGGAAUGAUUGAGUGAGAGAACUUUGUUAUAUGCUCUUAUGCUCUUUCAUUAGUCAUACUCUAUAUCGGCUCCUUACUGAAUGCUGACUAUCAGUUUAAUAAUUGUGAGUUUUCACCAUGAGUUGUAUGAGGGGGGCUGACUAGCUCUUUUGUAUGCAGGACUUGGUACUGAUACUCUAGAAUACACAUCAAAUGGGCGCUACAUGAUAGUAGGUGGACGAAAAGUGCAUAUUGCAAUGGUGGAUAUGUGGAGUAUGGAACUCAUCAAGGAAUUUCAGGUCAACUUUUCGUAUUAAGCAAUUUGUCAGUAUGUAGGUUUGCUUCUCUUUUGUCCUUUUUUCUCAGUAAAAUGUUCAGUAUUGAGUUUCAGUGCUUUGCUCAUAAAUUAGACUCGCGAGAGUGAUCUUAGUCUGAUCCUCGAUUUUGGUGGAAGUUAGCAGCAUUAAAACUUUGCCCAGACAAUUAUAAACUGAUAAUCUCUAUAUGUUCCUAUCAGGAGGAACGGAGGGAUGUGAUUUGGAAAGAUUGACAUUUCCUGUUUUGAGGAAUGGGAAACACUGAAUUACACACUUUAGAUCUUGCUUGGAACUUUGGUAUGUAAAGCACUCUGUUUGGGUUUGUUGGUAUGCUAACAUAACUAACUGGCUUCGCCUUCUCAUGAACUACGCUGAGGUUAGCUUCUGUUUUUACAUGGGUCAUUCUUUAUCAUCUUUUACAGUGAAAAGUGGCAUUAUGAACUUGAGUGAGAUCUAUAUUGAGCAUAAGUGGGAAAAUAUUCCAUCGGUUGUUACAACAUUACUACUUGGUGGUGCGCUUGGUCCUUUUGAAACUCUACAACUUGUUUUCUGUACAGAACCUAGACUUCAUAGGUGUGAAAGUGGUAAAUGUUCCUUCAUGCCUUUUUUUUGCUUUUGAUAGUGUGAAGUGUGAACUACUUUAUUUUAGGACAAACAUUAGCUAUUGACAUCAGCUUUUCCCAUGUAUCUCAAAAACUAAUUGAUUUCCCUUCAUCGAAAUCUGAUAAUUGAGGGCUCUUCUAUUAUUAAUAUUGAGCGGGUAGCAUCUUGGUUACUAAAUGAAUCAUUCUCAACUCUUUUGUUUUUUGCAG
This 3790-nucleotide long non-coding RNA is filed under the name Triticum aestivum (bread wheat). Its description in RNAcentral is "long non-coding RNA (TAES_LNC002442)". The record is from RNAcentral. Lineage: Eukaryota; Viridiplantae; Streptophyta; Magnoliopsida; Poales; Poaceae.